UGCCAGCCGCCGCGGUAAUACGGAGGGUGCGAGCGUUAAUCGGAAUUACUGGGCGUAAAGCGUACGUAGGCUGAUACCUAAGUCGGAUGUGAAAGCCCCGGGCUCAACCUGGGAACUGCAUACGAUACUGGGUAUCUAGAAUAUGGGAUAGGGGAGAGGAAUUUCCGGUGUAGCGGUGAAAUGCGUAGAUAUCGGAAAGAACACCAGUGGCGUAGGCGUCUCCCUGGCCUAAUAUUGACGCUGAGGUACGAAAGCGUGGGUAGCAAACAGGAUUAGAUA
This 279-nucleotide ribosomal RNA is filed under the name uncultured bacterium. RNAcentral's name for it is "partial 16S ribosomal RNA". It matches the Rfam family "Bacterial small subunit ribosomal RNA", at positions 506 to 784 of the family's 1533-position model. The record is from RNAcentral.